RNAcentral lists this ribosomal RNA (221 nucleotides) under uncultured bacterium. RNAcentral's name for it is "partial 16S ribosomal RNA". It matches the Rfam family "Bacterial small subunit ribosomal RNA", at positions 28 to 238 of the family's 1533-position model. The record is from RNAcentral.
GACGAACGCUGGCGGCGUGCCUAAUACAUGCAAGUCGAACGCACAGCGAAAGGUGCUUGCACCUUUCAAGUGAGUGGCGAACGGGUGAGUAACACGUGGACAACCUGCCUCAAGGCUGGGGAUAACAUUUGGAAACAGAUGCUAAUACCGAAUAAAACUCAGUGUCGCAUGACACAAAGUUAAAAGGCGCUUUGGCGUCACCUAGAGAUGGAUCCGCGGUG